RNAcentral lists this ribosomal RNA (240 nucleotides) under uncultured bacterium. Its description in RNAcentral is "partial 16S ribosomal RNA". It matches the Rfam family "Bacterial small subunit ribosomal RNA", at positions 92 to 334 of the family's 1533-position model. The record is from RNAcentral.
CGACCGGCGCACGGUGCGUAACGCGUAUGCAACCUACCUUUAACAGGGGGAUAACACUGAGAAAUUGGUACUAAUACCCCAUAAUAUCAUAGAAGGCAUCUUUUAUGGUUGAAAAUUCCGAUGGUUAGAGAUGGGCAUGCGUUGUAUUAGCUAGUUGGUGGGGUAACGGCUCACCAAGACGAUGAUAGGUAGGGGUUCUGAGAGGAAGGUCCCCCACAUUGGAACUGAGACACGGUCCAA